UUUAAUGUUUAUUGAUAUUUGAGAGAGAAGGAGACAGAGCACAAGUGGGGGAGGGGCAGAGAGAUGGAGACAGAAUCCAAAGCAGGCUCUGAGCAUCUAGCUGUGAGCUGUCAGUGCAGAGCCCAACACAGGGCUCGAACUCACGAGCAGUGAGAUCAUGACCUGAGCCGAAGUCCGACGCUUAACUGACUGAUCCACCCAGGUGCCCCGAAAUAUAAAAUUAAUCAGAAUCUCUAUCUUCUUCCAAAAUAACACAAAGACCUUGGAGUGUGUUAAUUCUAGGCACUUCUCACUUAAAUUCCAUGCUUCUGUUGCCUGACAUUGUGUUUCUACUGUCUCCCAAAAUGAAUCAUGACCAUCACUGUUUUUAGGGUUCAUUUAGAUUUACCUACUUGUAUACCAGUUUUUUGUUCUGUUUUGUUUCUUUAACCACUGUUCCUUGCAUCUCAUCCUUUGGGGUUCAAUUUUGGAUUUUUUUUUUGAGCGCAGAGCAUGCUUCAGAUCCUCUGUCCUCCCCUCUCUCUCUCUCAAAAAAGAAGACUCUUUUUUUCCCCAGCUUUAUUGAGAUAUAAUUGACAUAUAACAUUGUGUAAGCUCAAGAUGUACAGUGUGAUACAUGUAUACAUUGUGAAAUGUUCACCACAAUAAGGUUGGUUAACACAUCCUUCACAUAAUUCCCAAUUUUGUUAUUGUCUUGGUGAGAACAUUUAAGAUCUACUUGCAUAGAAACUUUAAAAAAAAUUUUUUUUAACAUUUAUUCAUUCUUGAGAGACAGAGAGACAGAGCACGAGUGGGGAAGGGGCAGAGAGAGAGAGGGAAACACAGAAUCCGAAGCAGGCUCCAGGCUCUGAGCUGUCAGCACAGAGCCCGAUGCGGGCCUCGAACUCACAAACCAUGAGAUCAUGACCUGAGCGGAAGUCAAACGCUUAACCGACUGAGCCACCCAGGUGCCCCGAAACUUUGAAGUAUACAGUACAGUAUUGUUACCUCUAUUCACCACGCUGUACAUUACAUCCUCGGAACUUACAAAAAUGAAAAUUUGUGCUCUUUGACCAACAUGUCCCCAUUUCCUCCACCCCCCAGGACUAGGCCUUGUUCUUUUAAUAGAUGUUGGAAAAGAUAAUUGCAUGCUGACCUCCCUUGGAUAGCUGAAUCAUGGUUAAUACUGGAUAGCCCGGGACAUCAUUGCAUGUAACACCCUGGGAGAAAAUAAGCAUCUUAAACCUAAUACAACAGUGAUGCUAGCCUCGUGCUCUUGGGUUGAGUGUUUUAAUACUUUUAAUUAAUUGCCAACUUUUCUCUUUCUAAAUCUUAAUGAAAAAAACGACUCACUAAAUCAUUGUACGACUCUCUCUUUGCCUUUGAUGAUCCUCUUCCAUAUAUAAUGGACUUUCUAUCUUCUAUGCCUCUUAGAGCCUUUCAUUUUUUUUCCCCAUGUCUUUAUUUCUUGGAGAGCAUCCUGGAUAACUUCCUCAGUUAUGUCUUCCAGUUCUCUUCUCAAUUUUGUCUCAUUAUUUGUCAUUUUCAUUUUCUUUUUUAAAACUUUCUGUUCUUUUUCUUUGAUGGCCUCUUCUGCCGACUUCUCAUCUUGUCUCUAAUACUCAUCUAUCAUUAUCCUUUCUUUCAGAUAUUCUAGUAUCUAAAGUUUGCGGGUGCUAAUCCUCUUGUAUGUUAUGUUUGCUGACUAUUACUCAUAGUAGAUUGUUUUCUUGUGUUUUGAGUUUGUGUAAGUCAGCUUCUCUUCAGUGAGGAUUUUUGAAAAUACCUUCUUAUUUUGGACUAAUUUUCGAUUUAGGCAGGGGUUGCAAUGACAAUACAGAGAUUUCCUGCCAGUCCUCCUAAUGUCAACACCUUACAUUAUUCUCUUAUAUUUAAAAACCAACACGGGCACUGGUACAUUGCUGUUAACUGAACUCCAGACUUCAUGCAGAUUUCACCAAUUUUGCUUCUAGUGCCCUUUUUUUGUGUUCAGGGACCCAAUUCAGGAUACCACAUUACAUUUAGAGAGAGGAUUGGUUUUUCUGUGGUAAUACCAUGCCAUCUGGGUUAUAGAAUUGUCCCUGCAGAGAGAUUUUGCAUGUGUUCAGCCAGGCACCCAGAAGUUUUGUUGAUCCAGAACCAGAUUUUAUAGUUGCUUCUCAGCUUGCGGAAUCCUAUACAACAUAGAUAGUAUAGAUUUAGAUUGCACACCUGUAUAUGCUUGUUAUUUCUGUAGUUUUUUUCUACUUUCCCCUUCACUGUAUUUAUGCAAGGUCAUGAGAUACAGAUCAUUGCUCAGUGUGGGCCCAAGGAUAUGUCUCUUGAUCCCCUGUAGGGGUUCAACUCUCAAGGCAUUGAGUAUGUUAGGUCCAGUAUCCCACCACACCCUCUACCCUGGUCAUUGAUGGAACACAAUUCAUGAGCCUGUUGCUCUAGCUUUAAGUUUCUUUGUUUCUGUCUCUUGGUGAUUCAUCUUUGUCUUUAGAUGUAUAGUUAAUUCUUUUUUUUUUAACUUUUUUAAAUGUUUCUUCGUUUUUGAGAGAUACAGAGCACAAGUGGGGGAAGGGCAGAGAGAGAGGGAGACACAGAAUCCAAAGCAGGCUCCAGGCUCUGAGCUGUCAGCACAGAGCCCGACGCAGGGCUCGAAGUCACGAACCUUGAAUCAUGACCUGAGCCAAAGUCGGAUGCUUAACCGACUGAGCCACCCAGGUGCCCCAUGUAUAGUUAAUUCUUAAACAUAUUUUUUAUCCAGUAUUUGAGGUUCUGCCUAGUGUAUAUGGCUUCCUUUUCCCCCCAGUGUUUCAUGUUGCCAGGACCUAUACUCUGUUAUCUGCAGUGUAUUACAUAUUGUCCCCUUGUUCUCUAACUGUUUCAUUUGUAAGUAAUUUCACUCACAGUUGCUUAGGAUAUUUUGAUAGUGUUCUUGAGGGUGGGGACAAUGUCAAUACUGCCUUUAUAUCCCCACAGUGACUAGCAAAGAAGAAAGACCAUUUUAGGUUCUCAAAUUACUUUAUAAAUAACGAAUGAAUGAACUCCAAGUCCUUAAACUAUGUGCCAGAAGCUGAACUGGUCCUCUGGACAUAUAUUGUCUUAGUUUAUUUUAGUUGUUCCUUGAGCCCUAUUUGUUGUUUUAUCUCUAGAAUUCUGUGGCAUUCUAUUUUUGCCUCGUGUCUUGUUUUCCAUUGAAUGUAUUACUAUUUUUAUCCCAUGGAUUUGUCAUAGUUUCUCCCACUGUCCUCAAUAUAAAUAACUUUUCAUGUCUUGAGUAGUACUGGUGUGAUCCAACCUGGAUUCUUAUUUAGAUUUAUAGUUAUAAUCCUCAGAUUUUUGUUUCUUGGAGGAGGAAAAGUGGUGGCCUCUGUCUCCUAGUAGAACCUUCAAGAUAACCUGCAUAAAUAGGCUAAGAAAGACUCAAUGUAUGCACAGAAAGCGUGACCUGUUACCCAGUACUGAUUGUCGCAGAGAGCUACCAGGCUAGGAGGAAUUCAUUGAUCUGUGCUUGGAUCCUUUUGACCCAGGAUGUGUGAUGUGUCCAUGGAGUAAUAGAAUUUAACCCAAAGAAGAGUAAUAGGAGACCUACUGGAUUUAGACUAUGGGGUAUGUGGAGAAGAUGUUGAUUAAUUUCUAUGUAUAUAGCAGAUCAUGCAAGCUACUAAUCUUUUUAGUAGAAUAAUUUGGGUUUGUACCCUUGAUAGUGAAAAGGUCAACGUCACACCUUCUAGGAAUACGGUUGUGCUAGUUUCCUAUUUAUUUAUUAAACAUUACCCCAUCACGUAGCCAUUCAAAUAACAAACAUUUAUUAUCACAGUUUCUGUGGGAUCAGGAAUCCAGGUGCGGCUUGGACGGGUGCCUCUGGUUCUCAAGGUGUCUCAUGAAGUUGUAGUUAAGCUAUUGGUUGGGGCCGUGAUCUCCUUUAAAGGCUCAGCUUGGGGCAAGGUAAUCAACUUCUAGCCUCAUUCAGGUGAUUGUUGACAGGCCUUGGUCCCUCGUCACAGGGGCCUUCCCAAGGGUUGCUCCGGCCCUCCGUAGGGGAGUUUGGCAGCUGACCUGCCCCAGGAUGAGAGGUCCAAGAGAGAGGGAGUAAGAGAGAACGUUUAAGACAGAAGCCACGUUCUUAUAACCUAAUCUCCGAGGUGCCAUGCCAUCACUUCUCUAAAAGGAAGUCAGGGACUAAGUCUAGUCCAUGCAGAAGGGAAAGGAGUCACACAAAGGUGUGAAUGCCAGCCGGCUGGGAUCAUUGGGGGCCAUCUGACAGGCUGCCUGGCACAACUACAUUUGCUUCCCUUUGGGACUUACUGAAUGACACACACAGUUAACCGAGAACAGCAACUAAACUAAGGAAGAAGGGUUCUGUACAGGUAAGUUCACACUCCACUGUCAUUAACCUUUGGUGUUUUCCACUCUUCAUUUUUUCAUGACUGGCCAAGGCUUGCUUUUUUUUUUUUUUUUUUCUUUUUUGCACCGCUUCCUCAAAUAUUUUUCUUUAGGAGUUAGAAUUCCUUAUGGUCAGCAAAAUCAAGUUUUGCUGCAAGUUUCCAAAUAUAUCAAAACUAUUUUUCCUUAUCUUGGAAGAUUUUCUCAUUUGUGCGUGUCUACUCUCUUUGGGGAAAAAAAAUCCUAGUAAUUGUCUCAUUUCUGUACUGCUACACACUUCUUGGUAAAAUAACCCUGAGGAGAAAUCAUUAAAAGUAGAUGACUUGGUAUUGGAUUUUUAACCCUUUCUUCCAUUACCUUUACUUCGUGAGGAUCCUUUUAAAUGAUGCUUGGUGCAGCGAGAGGAAUGGAGCAGUGGGGUUGAUAUUGGUUCUAUUUGUAAUUUCUUUGGUAGCAGAAAGGUUACAUUUUUAAAGGGACAUUGAUGAACCGAUAAAUGAGUAUGUCCAGAGUCCUCUCCAGAAUAGCAAGCAUCUAGAAAUCAUUCCAGGCCCGAAGGCACUUGUGAUAGUCUGGCUGUGCAAGUUUGUGUGCAGGGGGGUGGGGCAUGUUGGGGCGCUAUGGCAAAGCAUGGGAAAUAAUCUUUUUUAAGGAUUGAGUCCACGAGACCUCAAGCCUGGGUCUCCUCAAGCAUGCUCUCCUCCAGGGCGAUUUUAUCCAUCCCUGUGACUUCAGUUGCCAGGUAUAUGCUGGUGACUCCCAUCUUCAUGUAGCCAGCUUACAUGUGUCUCUGGAGCUACAGAUCUGUUCAGUUCAGCUGUCAACGACCACUGGGCUGAAAGAAUAGAAGCCCAGAGAGUGGUGACGGCAGGGAGGCCGACUCGGACAGCAAAUCAAGGGAAGGUCCAGACCAAUCUUGUUUGGACUAAAAGAAACAAGAACUUUUGAUGGACUUUAUCAAUGCAAUCAUUUCAUAGAUAUUUAUUGAGCACCUACUAUGUGCCAGGCACACUUCUUUUUUUAAAUUUUUUUUUAAUGUUUGUUUAUUUUUAUGAAAGACAGAGAGACUGAGUGCUAGCGGGGGAGGGGCAGAGAGAGAGGAAGACACAGAAACCAAAGCAGGCUCCAGGCUGUCAGCCCAGAGCCUAAUGUGGGGCUCGAAGUCACAAACUGUGAGAUCACGACCUGAGCCGAAGUUGGACGCCCAGCCGACUGAGCCACCCAGGUGCCCCAGCACACUUCUGAAUAUGGGGCUACAACGGUGACAAGACAGAGCAGGCCUUUGGCCUCGUGCGACUUAAAUUUUUAUGGAAGCAGGCAAGUGAUAGAUGUGUGAAUGAAUGAAAUUAGUGAUAUAUUUUAGAAAGAAAAUGAAAAUGGGUGAAGUUGAUGACAUCAAACGGUCCAACUUGCGCUAUAUGUUUGAAUUUGUUUUUGAGCUUGGGCAGUCAGUCUCUGACACCAUCUCAUUGGAAUUAAUUUAGAUGUGAGCUGAGGUCCACCUGAAGCUUUGGGUUGGGCAGUGUGCUACAGGUGGCUGCGUGGAUGGAUGGAAACCAGCCAUUUAUGGUUAUGUAAGCCAGGCUGAAAACCUCCCCCGCCCCGCCACCGAUAAGAACCCUGAAGACACUUCCACAAAUUCAGUUAAUCACUAAUCAAGGUUAUUCCCUUGCAAAGCAGAGCUAACUUCAUACGGAAGAGCAUAACAACUGUGCCCGUGUGUGCACAUUUCACAAGGAGUGUGCGUGCUAUAAUCAUGGUUGACUAGCUUCGUGGACGAGCUCUGGCCCUUCCCCUGCAGAACCACAACGUUUCUAUGUGUUGUGUAUAUGGGGCUUGCUGGCGAGAUUGGAGUUGAAGAAAGGGUUUCAUAGCUUUCAGAAGAAAGUUUGAAAAUCACGGAGUUAGAUCAUGAUGCUACACAAAAUGUGGCCUAGAUCAGGGGCGGGGCUUCACCAGGAGCUUGUUACGCACGUAGAAUCUUAUGCCCUGCCCCAAAUCUGAAUAGGAAUCUGCAUUUUAACAGGAUCUCCAGGGGAUGCAUAUUCACAAAAAUUUGAGAAGUACUCAUUUAGGCCACUGGUUUCCAAACUUGGCUGUGCGUUGGAAUCACCUGAGAGUGAAACCUUCCCGGAGGAUUCUGAUGUACAGCCAAGUCUGAGAACACUGAUUUAGGCCACAGACUGAACCCUAAGAAUGAUCAGUGUCCUGAAAAUGUGGGCUGUUUGGCCACCUGGAGAACCAGGUUUAUAGUGUCAGUCAAUUCACUAGAACCCUCUACCAGUGGGGUGAGGUGACAGCCUCCCACCGCACCCCAGUCCAACAUCCCCCUUGUGUAUGGAAGCUAGUGCAUAAUGAAUGGAGAAUGGCUAUUCUUGUAAGUGGGCGGGGGGAGUGGUGAGGGCAUUGAGGAUUCCUUUCCAGCAGAUGGUAUCAUUUAUCAGCUGGUGUAGACAGCAGCAAGAUCUCAUUUAUAUGCAGUGAUUUUCCCUCUUCACCAGGGAUUAACUCAGUAGAAACACUCAGACCAGCCUGCCUGCUACUCACCCUAUCCAGUUUAAAUUUAUUUUAUGUAAUUGUAUGCAAUAAUUUAUCCGUGAGAUUCCUCCAGGGGAGGAAGCCACAUGGAUCGCUCAAACCGCGGAAGGCAGUAAACAGAAUGGCCUUAUGCAUUUGUUAAGUCAUAAAGCAAAUAGCAGGGGAUUGUUGAGGGAGGGGAGAAGGUGGCUGAACAUUCAGAAGAGGAUACCUUUUGGGGGGGCGCUUCUUCCUUUCACCUCCUCUGUCUCCCAGAAAGAUGGUUCAACAAAUUCAUUCUGCAUCAGGCAUUGCCGAUUUUUUUUUAAAUGAAUACUGAAUCACGGAAACAGGCAAGCACAGACUCUAUGCUUUAAAUUCCAGUGUGUUCCGUUCUCUGUGGUCCCAGAGUUGCUUUAACAGAACAAGUGGAGGGGAGCUAAGAGAAGGUGUAUGUGAAGUUCUGUUUUCUUGCUCAAGAAGCAGGCCACACCGAGCUUAUGGCUGUGGGACAUGCAUGCCGGCCCACAAUAACAAGCAAGAAGUCUAAGCCAGUACCUUCAGCAGGAAGGUAUUCUUUCAUUUAAUAGAUGAAGGUGCUAAGGCUUCCAAGAGUUGUGAUCUUCCAAACCCAGCGUCCACGACAGCUGAAAACACCAGAAUGUGCUUAUGUUGCAAACCUGGAAUUCCUACCCCAGACAGGAGUACCAUUUCACACAAAUUAAUCGUGGAGAUACCCACUGCCCAUCGACAGGUGCACAUAGGAUCAAUGGGGAAAUACAGAGUAGCCAAACCACUUGGAGAUAAAUUAUUACAAGUGAUUCUCUAUCCACCCAGUUCUUUUGACCUAAUAGCAUUUCGUUUCAAAAGAGACCCUGACCCUUCUUUGUUAGAGAUCUGUGCUGGGCCUUCUUCCGAGGAAGAGACAGGAAGUCCAAAACCUGGCUGUCUGCCCCAGAGCAACCCUUAGUCCAUCAAGCUGUUCUGAAUGAAGAAUUGUAAUCUUCUCCGUAAUCUUCUUUCUGUUUUUCUUGUGGUAACAACACAUAACAUCUGCCCUCUUAACAAGUUAUAAGUGAGCAAUACAGUAUUGUCAUCUAUAAGCAUGAUGUACAGAUCUCUAGAACUUACGCAUCUUGCUUAACUGAAACUUUGUAUCCAUCGAACAGCAACUCCCCACUUCCCCCUCUCCCUAGCGCUUGGAAACCACCAUUCUACUUUCAGCUUCUAUGAGUUUCAACAAACCUGUAUGCCGUAAGAUCCUUGUUAACAGGAAAUCGUGACUUGGUUUGAGGAUUCUCUAAUUUCUUUUCAUCUUCCUGAUUCUGGCGUCUCCAUACCGUCACUAUUAUUAGGAAGACAUGCUCCCAUAGGUACAAAAAUGGUGGUGGGAGGGGGAAGACAGUAACAUCAUUGCUGUUGUAUCAGCUAGAACAAGGAUUGAAAUGAUCAAUAGACUUUAUUUCAGGCCCUCCCCCCAAAUAAUUUUAUAUUAGCCAUAUAGAUCUUUGGGAGUAAACAAUGAGUAUUAAUCUUCCAAAUGUUCAGUUCUUGAUUCUGAUUGCAAGAAUUGGGAAGAUAUUUGGGGGGCACAGGUGCUUUGGGAUAAGGAUAAGUCUAGGCAAUCUCUAGCCUUGUUGAAAUUUUAAAUUUAAAAGUAAAUUGCAAGGGGUGCCUGGGUGGCUCAGUCGGUUAAGCAUCCAACUCUUGAUUUCAGCUCAGGUCAUGAUCUCAUGGCCUUGAGACGGAGCCCUGCAUUGGACUCCAUGCCAGGCAUGGAGCCUGCUUAAGAUUCUCUCUUGCCCUCUCCCUCUGCCCCUGCCCUGCUCGCUCUCUCUCUCUCUCUCUCUC
This is a long non-coding RNA of Acinonyx jubatus (cheetah), 8721 nucleotides long. RefSeq lists it as uncharacterized. The record is from RefSeq and is a predicted model, not a curated record. The transcript has 2 exons. NCBI's taxonomy places the organism in Eukaryota, Metazoa, Chordata, Mammalia, Carnivora, Felidae.